ACCCAGCUGGCUCAAUUGGAAGAGCAUGUGACUCCAGAUCUUGGGGUUGUGAGUUCGAGCCCCCGCUGGGUU
RNAcentral lists this transfer RNA (72 nucleotides) under Felis catus (domestic cat). It matches the Rfam family "tRNA". From Rfam's summary of the family: Transfer RNA (tRNA) molecules are approximately 80 nucleotides in length. Their secondary structure includes four short double-helical elements and three loops (D, anti-codon, and T loops). Lineage: Eukaryota; Metazoa; Chordata; Mammalia; Carnivora; Felidae. The record is from Rfam by way of RNAcentral.